Molecule: ribosomal RNA, 577 nt
Filed under: Shigella flexneri
Lineage: Bacteria; Pseudomonadati; Pseudomonadota; Gammaproteobacteria; Enterobacterales; Enterobacteriaceae
Description: bacterial SSU rRNA
Rfam family: Bacterial small subunit ribosomal RNA
Source: RNAcentral
GCCUCUUGCCAUCGGAUGUGCCCAGAUGGGAUUAGCUUGUUGGUGGGGUAACGGCUCACCAAGGCGACGAUCCCUAGCUGGUCUGAGAGGAUGACCAGCCACACUGGAACUGAGACACGGUCCAGACUCCUACGGGAGGCAGCAGUGGGGAAUAUUGCACAAUGGGCGCAAGCCUGAUGCAGCCAUGCCGCGUGUAUGAAGAAGGCCUUCGGGUUGUAAAGUACUUUCAGCGGGGAGGAAGGGAGUAAAGUUAAUACCUUUGCUCAUUGACGUUACCCGCAGAAGAAGCACCGGCUAACUCCGUGCCAGCAGCCGCGGUAAUACGGAGGGUGCAAGCGUUAAUCGGAAUUACUGGGCGUAAAGCGCACGCAGGCGGUUUGUUAAGUCAGAUGUGAAAUCCCCGGGCUCAACCUGGGAACUGCAUCUGAUACUGGCAAGCUUGAGUCUCGUAGAGGGGGGUAGAAUUCCAGGUGUAGCGGUGAAAUGCGUAGAGAUCUGGAGGAAUACCGGUGGCGAAGGCGGCCCCCUGGACGAAGACUGACGCUCAGGUGCGAAAGCGUGGGGAGCAAACAGGAUU